Molecule: ribosomal RNA, 433 nt
Filed under: uncultured bacterium
Lineage: Bacteria
Description: partial 16S ribosomal RNA
Rfam family: Bacterial small subunit ribosomal RNA
Source: RNAcentral
AGCGAACGCUGGCGGCAGGCCUAACACAUGCAAGUCGAACGAACUCUUCGGAGUUAGUGGCGGACGGGUGAGUAACACGUGGGAACGUGCCUUUAGGUUCGGAAUAACUCAGGGAAACUUGUGCUAAUACCGAAUGUGCCCUUCGGGGGAAAGAUUUAUCGCCUUUAGAGCGGCCCGCGUCUGAUUAGCUAGUUGGUGAGGUAAAGGCACACCAAGGCGACGAUCAGUAGCUGGUCUGAGAGGAUGAUCAGCCACAUUGGGACUGAGACACGGCCCAAACUCCUACGGGAGGCAGCAGUGGGGAAUCUUGCGCAAUGGGCGAAAGCCUGACGCAGCCAUGCCGCGUGAAUGAUGAAGGUCUUAGGAUUGUAAAAUUCUUUCACCGGGGACGAUAAUGACGGUACCCGGAGAAGAAGCCCCGGCUAACUUCGUG